Molecule: transfer RNA, 93 nt
Filed under: bacterium
Lineage: Bacteria
Description: tRNA-Ser
Rfam family: tRNA
About the family: Transfer RNA (tRNA) molecules are approximately 80 nucleotides in length. Their secondary structure includes four short double-helical elements and three loops (D, anti-codon, and T loops).
Source: RNAcentral
GGAAGGGUACCGAAGAGGUCAUAACGGCGCCGAUUCGAAAUCGGAUGGUCGGGUCAUACCGGCACGUGGGUUCGACUCCCACCCCUUCCGCCA